GUUUUAUUUUUAGAGUCUGGUCAAGCUUGCGACUCUGUGGCUUAUCCCCUGCAUCCAGACCUCUCCCUGAUUGGGGGAGCGGAAAAUACCCCAGGUCCCCAGAUUUAUUUCAUGUGGUUUAAUUUACGAUGUUUGACGCACGUCGGCAAGUAAUCCUAUUGUGUGUCCUCAGGGACAACUUCUAAUGUCGUGGGAGCGCGGAGGAUCCCAGGGCUCCAUUGCGUCUUCAGUCAGUUCUUGCGCAAACCGCCGAAAGAAAUGCGCCACAAUGAAUGUUACCUGGAAUCAGGAGGAUCCUCAUGGGGAGCAUGUGAAGUAGUGGAAAGCAGUCAAAUGGCCAGUUCUUGGCCCUCAUUCGGCGGUGUUUGACCAACCAAUCCGGCGGCCUCGGUUUCUUCUGCCAUGAAUAAUCUUGACAAGGGCUCUUAGUGACCGGCAGAGAACGGCAUUGCGAAAGACAAAUGGCUCCCUGGUUAUGUCCGAACGGGCCGAUAUGUCUAGACAUUUGCUUGGCCUUGCCUUUCUUUUCACUUCCUAUGCAGAACAUCUUUGGUCCGUCCGACCACCAUCCAUGCGCCAAUUUGUAUAGAGGAUUGGAGUUCGGCACAGCAACAGCGUCACUACGAAGAGCCAAGUAAGUGGGGUCCUGUCUUGGGGAAGACGAGCAUAAGAUCUUUCCCUUGAGUAGUAGGAGAGAAAUGUUUCUGCAUGCGACGCUUCUUCUCACGAAUCUCAGUUGCAGCCUCGACUGUUUUACCACAGAUGGGGAUUGUGUCGGCAAGGAUUAUAUAUCCUAUCUCAAGAUGCAACCCAGCUGCCACAGCCUUACCAAUGUUUGGCCAACAUUAAGAUGGCGGGGUUAAACUUUUCAUGCUGGAUUAUCACCGAGUAUUUUAGUGCAGCCAGUCUCCGCAGAACUGCGGCCACUCCCCCUCCUAUCAACACGCC
Molecule: small RNA, 948 nt
Filed under: Histoplasma capsulatum var. duboisii H88
Lineage: Eukaryota; Fungi; Ascomycota; Eurotiomycetes; Onygenales; Ajellomycetaceae
Description: Histoplasma capsulatum H88 hypothetical RNA
Source: RNAcentral